CAAUAGCGUAUAUUAAAGUUGUUGCAGUUAAAAAGCUCGUAGUUGGAUUUGUGGCUGUCACGGGCGGCCUAUCACUUAGUGUUAGUGCUUGCCUGUGUCGCCAUCCUUGGGUGGAGCCCGUGUGGCAUUAGGUUGUCGUGCGGGGGAUGCCCAUCGUUUACUGUGAGAAAAUUAGAGUGUUCAAAGCAGGCUUAUGCCGUUGAAUAUGUUAGCAUGGAAUAAUAAGAUAGGACCUCGGUAUUAUUUUGUUGGUUUGCGCACCGAGGUAAUGAUUAAUAGGGACAGUUGGGGGUAUUCGUAUUUCAUUGUCAGAGGUGAAAUUCUUGGAUUUCUGAAAGACGAACUACUGCGAAAGCAUUUACCAAGGAUGUUUUCAUUAA
This 380-nucleotide ribosomal RNA is filed under the name uncultured eukaryote. RNAcentral's name for it is "partial 18S ribosomal RNA". It matches the Rfam family "Eukaryotic small subunit ribosomal RNA", at positions 592 to 976 of the family's 1831-position model. The record is from RNAcentral.